UUGAAAGGGAAACGAUUGAAGUCAGUCGUACCUGUGGGUAAUCAGCCUUUUGGGUGUGAUUUUGUGGAGUGUGAGGAGUUAAACGCCCUCAUGCCUGCAUAUUCGUGCACUUUGGGUGUAUUUACCCGUGUGGUAAGUUAACAUCAAUUUCGGUGAUCAUAAAAUGGCUGGAGGAAUGUAGCUUCGAUCUUGUAUUGAAGUGUUAUAGCCUUCGGUAGAUGUGAUGAUCGGGAUUGAGGAUUGCAACGGAUACCCUUCGGGGCUACCUGUCUGAUCUCUGAUCGUUGCUCUGGUGCCGAAAGCUUGCUUACGGUUAUCAAAGUCGAUGGUCAAUAGGUUAGAAUGGGUUAAAUUCGUUAAGGAUGUUGACGUA
Molecule: ribosomal RNA, 373 nt
Filed under: uncultured Glomeromycotina
Lineage: Eukaryota; Fungi; Glomeromycota
Description: LSU rRNA
Source: RNAcentral